RNAcentral lists this ribosomal RNA (648 nucleotides) under Salmonella enterica subsp. enterica serovar Infantis. Its description in RNAcentral is "partial 23S ribosomal RNA". It matches the Rfam family "Bacterial large subunit ribosomal RNA", at positions 711 to 1274 of the family's 2925-position model. Lineage: Bacteria; Pseudomonadati; Pseudomonadota; Gammaproteobacteria; Enterobacterales; Enterobacteriaceae. RNAcentral also lists the same sequence under 1 other name. The record is from RNAcentral.
AGACCCGAAACCCGGUGAUCUAGCCAUGGGCAGGUUGAAGGUUGGGUAACACUAACUGGAGGACCGAACCGACUAAUGUUGAAAAAUUAGCGGAUGACCUGUGGCUGGGGGUGAAAGGCCAAUCAAACCGGGAGAUAGCUGGUUCUCCCCGAAAGCUAUUUAGGUAGCGCCUCGUGAAUUCAUCUCCGGGGGUAGAGCACUGUUUCGGCUAGGGGGCCAUCCCGGCUUACCAACCCGAUGCAAACUGCGAAUACCGGAGAAUGUUAUCACGGGAGACACACGGCGGGUGCUAACGUCCGUCGUGAAGAGGGAAACAACCCAGACCGCCAGCUAAGGUCCCAAAGUCAUGGUUAAGUGGGAAACGAUGUGGGAAGGCCCAGACAGCCAGGAUGUUGGCUUAGAAGCAGCCAUCAUUUAAAGAAAGCGUAAUAGCUCACUGGUCGAGUCGGCCUGCGCGGAAGAUGUAACGGGGCUAAACCAUGCACCGAAGCUGCGGCAGCGAACGUAUCACUUAAAGCGAUUCAGCGGGUUACGAUUGACGGAGCGAAGCGACGUCAAAGCGUAUACAAAGUCGAGUCGGUUUAAGGAUACGUUCGUUGGGUAGGGGAGCGUUCUGUAAGCCUGUGAAGGUGUGUCGUGAGGCAUGCU